Molecule: ribosomal RNA, 341 nt
Filed under: Percolomonas cosmopolitus
Lineage: Eukaryota; Heterolobosea; Eutetramitea; Percolomonadida; Percolomonadidae
Description: partial Bacterial large subunit ribosomal RNA
Rfam family: Bacterial large subunit ribosomal RNA
Source: RNAcentral
GUACCGUGAGGGAAAGGUGAAAAGAACCGUGAACAACGGAGUGAAAUAGAACCUGAAACCAUACGCCUACAAGCGGUCGGAGCCAGUUUACUGGUGACGGCGUGCCUUUUGCAUAAUGAGCCUACGAGUUACUGUUGCCAGCGAGGUUAAGGUAUUGAGUACCGGAGCCGCAGCGAAAGCGAGUCUGAAUAGGGCGCCAUAGUUGGUAGUAGUAGACGCGAAACCGUGUGAUCUACCCUUGGGCAGGCUGAAGUUUGGGUAACACCAAAUGGAGGGCCGAACCCGUUGACGUUGAAAAGUCUUGGGAUGACCUGAGGGUAGGGGUGAAAGGCCAAUCAAAC